RNAcentral lists this ribosomal RNA (492 nucleotides) under uncultured bacterium. RNAcentral's name for it is "partial 16S ribosomal RNA". It matches the Rfam family "Bacterial small subunit ribosomal RNA", at positions 29 to 507 of the family's 1533-position model. The record is from RNAcentral.
AGUGAACGCUGGCGGUAGGCCUAACACAUGCAAGUCGAACGGCAGCACAGUAAGAGCUUGCUCUUACGGGUGGCGAGUGGCGGACGGGUGAGGAAUACAUCGGAAUCUACUUUUUCGUGGGGGAUAACGUAGGGAAACUUACGCUAAUACCGCAUACGACCUACGGGUGAAAGCAGGGGAUCUUCGGACCUUGCGCGAUUGAAUGAGCCGAUGUCGGAUUAGCUAGUUGGCGGGGUAAAUGCCCACCAAGGCGACGAUCCGUAGCUGGUCUGAGAGGAUGAUCAGCCACACUGGAACUGAGACACGGUCCAGACUCCUACGGGAGGCAGCAGUGGGGAAUAUUGGACAAUGGGCGCAAGCCUGAUCCAGCCAUACCGCGUGGGUGAAGAAGGCCUUCGGGUUGUAAAGACCUUUUGUUGGGAAAGAAAAGCAGCAGGUUAAUACCCCGCUGUUCUGACGGUAACCAAAGGAUAAGCACCGGCUAACUUCGUG